Molecule: transfer RNA, 72 nt
Filed under: Nannocystis sp.
Lineage: Bacteria; Pseudomonadati; Myxococcota; Nannocystales; Nannocystaceae
Description: tRNA-Phe
Rfam family: tRNA
About the family: Transfer RNA (tRNA) molecules are approximately 80 nucleotides in length. Their secondary structure includes four short double-helical elements and three loops (D, anti-codon, and T loops).
Source: RNAcentral
CCCGCGGUAGCUCAGGUGGAAGAGCAUCCGGCCGAAACCCGGUGCGCGAAGGUUCGAAUCCUUCCCGCGGGA